RNAcentral lists this ribosomal RNA (305 nucleotides) under uncultured bacterium. Its description in RNAcentral is "bacterial SSU rRNA". It matches the Rfam family "Bacterial small subunit ribosomal RNA", at positions 332 to 655 of the family's 1533-position model. The record is from RNAcentral.
UCUACCUACGGGACGCAGCAGUGGGGAAUAUUGCACAAUGGGGGAAACCCUGAUGCAGCAACGCCGCGUGAGUGAAGAAGCAUUUCGGUAUGUAAAGCUCUAUCAGUAGGGAAGAAGAAAGACGGUACCUGACUAAGAAGCCCCGGCUAACUACGUGCCAGCAGCCGCGGUAAUACGUAGGGGGCAAGCGUUAUCCGGAUUUACUGGGUGUAAAGGGAGCGUAGACGGCAUAGCAAGUCUGAAGUGAAAGCCCGUGGCUCAACCGCGGAACUGCUUUGGAAACUGUUAAGCUGGAGUACUGGGGG